GAUGAAGAACGUAGCGAAAUGCGAUACUUGGUGUGAAUUGCAGAAUCCCGUGAACCAUCGAGUCUUUGAACGCAAGUUGCGCCCGAAGCCAUCAGGUUGAGGGCACGUCUGCCUGGGCGUCACAUAUCGUUGCCCAAUGCCUAUUGCAGUGCAAUAGGAAUUUCUAGGGCGAAUGAUGGCUUCCCGUGAGCGUUGUUGCCUCGCGGUUGGUUGAAAAUCGAGUCCUUGGUAGGGUGUGCCAUGGUAGAUGGUGGUCGAGUUAGAACGAUACCGAUCAUGUGCAUGCUCCCCAAAAUAUGGCCUCUAUGACCCACACGCGUCUUUUGCCGCUCAUGACGAGACCUCAGGUCAGGCGGGGCUACCCGCUGAAUUUAAGCAUAUCAAUAAGCGGAGGA
RNAcentral lists this unclassified non-coding RNA (395 nucleotides) under soil metagenome. Its description in RNAcentral is "partial contains 5.8S ribosomal RNA, internal transcribed spacer 2, and large subunit ribosomal RNA". The stretch from base 1 to 122 matches the Rfam family "5.8S ribosomal RNA", at positions 35 to 154 of the family's 154-position model. The record is from RNAcentral.